Molecule: long non-coding RNA, 3579 nt
Filed under: Phoenix dactylifera (date palm)
Lineage: Eukaryota; Viridiplantae; Streptophyta; Magnoliopsida; Arecales; Arecaceae
Description: long non-coding RNA (PDAC_LNC010953)
Source: RNAcentral
UGAGCUUUGAAAUAUCGAGAUGCAUGAUGUAACAAUAGGGGAUGGGUACAUUACACACUGUCUAGGAUCUAACCUACAAAGAGUAUCAGUAGGCACUAAUCCUGGAAACAGGCCUGGUGUCAACCCUAAAGGAUGAAUUUUGAUGAUUACAAAACACUUGAGAUCAUGUUGUGUACUAAUGACAUUGGCCUAAUUGUGAAGAUUUCUAAGUUAAGAAAAAUCAGAAGGAAUGAAGCACUGCAAAAUCAUAAGUUCUUCGCAAACAUCUCAUUGGACAUGUUCCAAAAGAAAAUGAUCAUAAUCUAAUCCAUGGAGAUCAGAGAUGACUAAAGUUUUCUGUUUGAAAAACUUGAGUCAACACCUAAGCAAAAAGGACAAGUUUAAGUUGAUUCUGAUAAGUUUUAUUCAAAGAACACAGUCAAUGAGUCGACCCCUGCAAAACAUAAGUCGACCCUUGUGUAGUUUGAAGUAAAUAGAAAGUUUUUACCGCCCGAGAGAAGCUUGAAGAGUCGACCCUGGUUCAAAAUGAGUCGACCCCCGAAAUUGAAGAGUCGACCCUUGCAUUUGAAGAGUCGACCCCAGCUCAGUUUAAGCGACAGCCGGAAAAUUAUGGUAUGAGUCGACUCUUGCAUUUAAAGAGGCGACUCCUGAAGACGAUGAGUCGACCCUUGUGUUUAAAAAGGCGACUCCUAAUGAAGAUGAGCCGACCCUUAAGAAUUAAGAGUCGACCCUUUGAAGAUGACACAGCAAAAGCUUUCUCCGCAUUUUGAAGUGCCGAUCCAGAAUGAACAUGAGUCGACCCCUGAGUUAUAUGAGCCGACCCUUGUACUGCUGGGACCACAACGGGAAGCUGUGAACGACUUUUGUCUUCUAUCAUAGAAAAAGAUUCUCAUCAGAAUGGGAAGAAAGGAAUUCAAAUCCCGCCGAAGAAUUUGUCUAUAAAUACGAGGGAACCUCAGAAUAGAAACAACAAGGAAAGGGAAAAGAUUCUAUUGAAAACAAAAGGUUUCCACCGACAAAAAGAGAAGAAAAGCUUAACAGUUCAUCAUCUUCACCAGCACUGUAAUCUGAAACUUUCUCUUGUGAGGAGAUCAGUCGAAGUUUCUCACUACAUCGUGAAGAGCUUUGUUCGGACAUUGGAACAUCCUUCCACACCCAACUUCUUCAUCGGCUUCAGCUUUUACUUUCAUUGAUUUAUUCUUUAUAUGCUCUGAAGCUUUAAGUUUUCUAGUUACAGCAUUUUUUUAGUUGGAUUAAUGGCUGCUGUAACAGUUUCAUUGAUUUGAAACUUGUAAAGGCUCUUCCAAGCCUCGAUUGGAAGUUGUUGAAUCGGAAAUAUUCAGCAAGGGAAAAGUUUCUGGUUAGUUAAUUUGAAAACCAACUAAGUUGUUUGNNNNNNNNNNNNNNNNNNNNNNNNNNNNNNNNNNNNNNNNNNNNNNNNNNNNNNNNNNNNNNNNNNNNNNNCCCGGGAAAACAAACGGUGUAAAGUUUUUGGUUGGUUUAUCUGAAAACCAACUGGGUUGUUUGUGAUCCCGGAAAACAAAAGGUUUUCGGUUGGUUGCCUGGAAAAACCAACUGGGUUUUGAUUGUGAGCUCGGAAAACAAUCAGGCUGUAAUCUGCUGGGUUAUAGUGAAAUCUCAAGCUAGGCUUGAGGAGUGGACGUAGGUGCUGGGAGUGCACCGAACCACUAUAAACCUUCGUAUUUGUGAUUGUGGGUCUUCUCUUCCUUUCCUCUGCAUAUUCCUGACUGCUUUCCUAACUUUAUUCACUAUCGUAUUUGUGCAAUCUUAUUUCCGCUGCCGAAUCUAUAAGAUAACAGUAACUCAUACUCUCCAUACGUUUUAACUUUAAUUAUUUUUAAAGAGAUCCAAUUCACCUCCCCUCUUGGGCUGCACCUCUGGGCAACACCUGGACUAGCCCAACACCAAUUGGCCUAGGCUGAAUUCUAGCCAGGCUUUGCACCAGGUUUUAGGUUGGGUCUCUAACUCUCUAUAGGUUCAGGUCAAGCCUGCACCCGAAAUUUAAGACACGAAAGGAUCCAGGCCAUGUUGAGGCAACCAUUGGCCAGCCUCAAAGCCCUAACCAUAUAUUAUUGUUUUAUAUUAUAUACUUUUUAUAUUUAAAAUCCAAGUCAUCCAUUUUGAAUAGAUGGAUGGGAUCUACUAUUCCCAAGGAGAAAUCCUCACCAACUUUGUUUCCCAAACCUUAUCUCAUCAACGAAAGCACUAUGGAUGGGAUCUAUAUACUUGAGCUCUGCUUCCUCCUGAAUACACUUCAGCCUCAACCUCAGAUUGUAGUAAAUAUAAACAAGAUCGUUGAGACCAAGGUCCGCUGUACCAACCAUACCGACGUACCGGUGGGCAUCGGUAUCGGUACGGUACCGGUACUAUACCGAACCGAACCGGCACUGUACCGGUUCGGCUGGUUCGGGCCAAAAGCCAAAAAAAAUUUGAGGUCAGUACGAGCCGGUCGGUACGGGCCGGUACGGGAUCGGUACGGCCGGUACCGGGCCGGUACGGCCGAUACCGGAUCGGUACGGGGCAGUACCGGGUCGGUACCGACUGGUACGAGUUACGAAUAGUCGGAACCGAAAAAUAUAGCUACAUCGUACCGGUUCCGUCUGGUACCGAUAUGUACCGGCCUGUACCGAUCCGUACCGAUCGGUACGGCAGACCAUGGUUGAGACGCUUCUUGUAUCAAACGGUUCCUCUGCUUAUUGUGGAUGAGGGGCUAAGGUGGACUAGUUGCACUCACAGCCACUCGAGAAGACCGUCUGAAAAAGAAUCCGGAUAGCUAGCUGCUUAAGAUUUUUCGCGGAAAGCACAAAAUGAAUCCACCAUUCAGUUGCAAAAAUAUUGAAAAAAAUUAUAUAUAAGAUAAUACCACAUUAGUAAUCAUCUAAUGCCAGGUAAAUAUCCUCCUGACACAGCAAAAGCUUUCUCCGCAUUUUAAAGUGCCGAUCCAGAAUGAACAUGAGUCGACCCCUGAGUUAUAUGAGCCGACCCUUGUACUGCUGGGACCACAACGGGAAGCUGUGAACUACUUUUGUCUUCUUCUAUAACAGAAAAAGAUUCUCAUCAGAAUGGGAAGAAAGAAAUUCAAAUCCCGCCGAAGAAUUUGUCUAUAAAUACGAGGGAACCUCAGAAUAGAAACAACAAGGAAAGGGAAAAGAUUCUAUUGAAAACAAAAGGUUUCCACCGACAAAAAGAGAAGAAAAGCUUAACAGUUCAUCAUCUUCACCAGCACUGUAAUCUGAAACUUUCUCUUGUGAGGAGAUCAGUCGAAGUUUCUCACUACAUCGUGAAGAGCUUUGUUCGGACAUUGGAACAUCCUUCCACACCCAACUUCUUCAUCGGCUUCAGCUUUUACUUUCAUUGAUUUAUUCUUUAUAUGCUCUGAAGCUUUAAGUUUUCUAGUUACAGCAUUUUUUUAGUUGGAUUAAUGGCUGCUGUAACAGUUUCAUUGAUUUGAAACUUGUAAAGGCUCUUCCAAGCCUCGAUUGGAAGUUGUUGAAUCGGAAAUAUUCAGCAAGGGAAAAGUUUCUGGUUAGUUAAUUUGAAAACCAACUAAGUUGUUUG